AGAGCGAACGCUGGCGGCGUGGUUUAGACAUGCAAGUCGAGCGGUAAGGCCCCUUCGGGGGUACACGAGCGGCGAACGGGAGAGUAAUGCUUGGACAACCUACCUCGAAGUCGGGGAUAGCCACUGGAAACGGUGGGUAAUACCCGAUGGUCCCCCGAGUUGAUGACUCGGACGGUAAAGGUGAUUCCGCUUCGGGACGGGUCCAAGUCCUAUUAGCUUGUUGGUGCGGUAACGGCGCACCAAGGCAUCGAUAGGUAGCGGGCCUGAGAGGGUGAUCCGCCUCACUGGGACUGAGACACUGCCCAGACUCCUACGGGAGGCUGCAGUCACGAAUCAUUGGCAAUGCGCGCAAGCGUGACCAUGCGACGCCGCGUGGGCGAUGAAGGCCUUCGGGUUGUAAAGCCCUGUCAGGAGUGAGCAAAGCCGUGUGAAAAGCACGGUUGAGUUAAGCUCCAAAGGAAGUCACGGCUAACUCCGUGCCAGCAGCCGCGGUAAUACGGAGGUGGCAAGCGUUGCUCGGAAUCACUGGGCUUAAAGGGCGUGUAGGCGGCAAUUUAAGUCGGGUGUGAAAUCCCUCGGCUCAACCGAGGAAUUGCAUCCGAAACUGAUUUACUUGAGUGCGGGAGGGGAGAGUGGAACUCCAGGUGUAGCGGUGAAAUGUGUAGAUAUCUGGAGGAACGCCGGUGGCGAAAGCGACUCUCUGGCCCGAUACUGACGCUGAGGCGCGAAAGCUAGGGUAGCGAACGGGAUUAGAUACCCCGGUAGUCCUAGCCCUAAACGAUGAGCACUUGGCUGUGGUCAAAUCGACUAGAGCACAGCCGUAGCGAAAGUGAUAAGUGCUCCGCCUGGGGAGUACGGUCGCAAGGCUG
This 869-nucleotide ribosomal RNA is filed under the name uncultured bacterium. RNAcentral's name for it is "bacterial SSU rRNA". It matches the Rfam family "Bacterial small subunit ribosomal RNA", at positions 26 to 896 of the family's 1533-position model. The record is from RNAcentral.